RNAcentral lists this ribosomal RNA (253 nucleotides) under uncultured bacterium. Its description in RNAcentral is "partial 16S ribosomal RNA". It matches the Rfam family "Bacterial small subunit ribosomal RNA", at positions 524 to 776 of the family's 1533-position model. The record is from RNAcentral.
UACGUAGGGGGCGAGCGUUGUCCGGAGUUACUGGGCGUAAAGCGCACGCAGGCGGUCUGCUAAGUUUGGAGUGACAGUUGGUGGCUUAACUGCCAAAGUGCUUCGAAAACUGACAGACUUGAGGGCUUCAGAGGGACACGGAAUUCCGGGUGGAGUGGUGUAAUGCGUAGAGAUCCGGAGGAACACCAAAGGCGAAGGCAGUGUCCUGGGGAGUACCUGACGCUCAGGUGCGAAAGCCAGGGGAGCGAACGGG